RNAcentral lists this ribosomal RNA (486 nucleotides) under uncultured bacterium. Its description in RNAcentral is "bacterial SSU rRNA". It matches the Rfam family "Bacterial small subunit ribosomal RNA", at positions 501 to 986 of the family's 1533-position model. The record is from RNAcentral.
CUACGUGCCAGCAGCCGCGGUAAUACGGGGGGUGCGAGCGUUAAUCGGAAUAACUGGGCGUAAAGGGCACGCAGGCGGUGACUUAAGUGAGAUGUGAAAGCCCCGAGCUUAACUUGGGAAUUGCAUUUCAUACUGGGUCGCUAGAGUACUUUAGGGAGGGGUAGAAUUCCACGUGUAGCGGUGAAAUGCGUAGAGAUGUGGAGGAAUACCGAUGGCGAAGGCAGCCUCCUGGGAUAACACUGACGUUCAUGCUCGAAAGCGUGGGUAGCAAACAGGAUUAGAUACCCUGGUAGUCCACGCCCUAAACGAUGUCAAUUAGCUGUUGGGCAACUUGAUUGCUUAGUAGCGUAGCUAACGCGUGAAAUUGACCGCCUGGGGAGUACGGUCGCAAGGUUGAAACUCAAAGGAAUUGACGGGGGCCCGCACAAGCGGUGGAGCAUGUGGUUUAAUUCGAAGCAACGCGAAGAACCUUACCAGGUCUUGACA